CCUACGGGAGGCUGCAGUAGGGAAUCUUCCACAAUGGGCGCAAGCCUGAUGGAGCAACACCGCGUGAGUGAAGAAGGGUUUCGGCUCGUAAAGCUCUGUUGUUGGAGAAGAACGAGCGUGAGAGUAACUGUUCAUGCAGUGACGGUAUCCAACCAGAAAGUCACGGCUAACUACGUGCCAGCAGCCGCGGUAAUCCGUAGGUGGCAAGCGUUAUCCGGAUUUAUUGGGCGUAAAGCGAGCGCAGGCGGUUGCUUAGGUCUGAUGUGAAAGCCUUCGGCUUAACCGAAGAAGUGCAUCGGAAACCGGGCGACUUGAGUGCAGAAGAGGACAGUGGAACUCCAUGUGUAGCGGUGAAAUGCGUAGAUAUAUGGAAGAACACCAGUGGCGAAGGCGGCUGUCUGGUCUGCAACUGACGCUGAGGCUCGAAAGCAUGGGUAGCGAACAGGAUUAGAUACCCUUGUAGUC
This 465-nucleotide ribosomal RNA is filed under the name uncultured bacterium. Its description in RNAcentral is "partial 16S ribosomal RNA". It matches the Rfam family "Bacterial small subunit ribosomal RNA", at positions 338 to 795 of the family's 1533-position model. The record is from RNAcentral.